This 307-nucleotide small RNA is filed under the name Heterocephalus glaber (naked mole-rat). RNAcentral's name for it is "7SK RNA". It matches the Rfam family "7SK RNA", at positions 1 to 252 of the family's 331-position model. From Rfam's summary of the family: 7SK was discovered as an abundant small nuclear RNA in the mid-70s but a possible function has only recently been suggested. Two independent studies have found that 7SK RNA binds the CDK9/cyclin T complex (known as elongation factor P-TEFb). Lineage: Eukaryota; Metazoa; Chordata; Mammalia; Rodentia; Bathyergidae. The record is from Rfam by way of RNAcentral.
AGAUGUGAGGGCCAACUGGCUGCGGUAUCUGUCACCCUACUGAUUGCCAGCGUCGAUUCGGCUGAUCUGGCUGGCUGGGCGGGCGUCCCUUUCCUUCCUCACCCCUCCUUGUGUUUCCCUCCUAAAGCUGUGCACUUGGUUGAAGAGGACGACCACCCCCAUAGAAGAGGGCUGUUUCCUUGGCCAAGGGUAAAGAAGUAGCUGCAUUCCCCUGUUAGAACCUCCAAACAAGUCCCCAUCCAGAGGCGUCUCUUGCCUCUAGUUAACAUGCCUCUUUCGUCCUCUUUAAUCUAGGCUCAUUAUUUAG